This 596-nucleotide small RNA is filed under the name Caenorhabditis elegans. Its description in RNAcentral is "Unclassified non-coding RNA Y43F8C.28". Lineage: Eukaryota; Metazoa; Nematoda; Chromadorea; Rhabditida; Rhabditidae. The record is from RNAcentral.
GAAUACAUCCACGAUACGAGUAUUUGGGCGAAAAAGGAUCCAUCUGAACAGGAAAAGGAUCCAGUAGUCAUUCCAUCAGUUGUUUCAUCGCUUUUUAUGAUGUUCCGAUGGGAAUUUCUGUUGGCUUCAACGUUGAAAUUCGUCUCCGACACUAUGCAAUUUGCCAGUCCAUUUUUACUACAGUAAGCAGCGGCGGGAAAAUCGAAAAAUUGACGAUUUUUGGGGCUGAAAAUUUACUGAAAAAUUGACGGUUUUUCAGCCAAAAAAUUGGAUUUUUCAGCCAAAAAAAAUUGGAUUUUUCACCCCAAAAAAUUGGAUUUUUCACCCCAAAAAAUUGGAUUUUUCACCCCAAAAGAUUGGAUUUUUCACCCCAAAACCCACCCAAUAAAAGAAAAAACUCCAAUUUUCCAAAUUUCAGCGAGCUUCUCAACUUCAUCUCGGCGAAAAAUGCUCCAUUUUGGAAGGGAAUGGCUCUGAGUAUUCUAAUGUUCUCUGUGUCGGAGCUCCGUUCACUUAUUCUCAAUGGAUAUUUCUAUAUUAUGUUCAGAAUGGGAACUAAAAUUCAGACGUCGUUGACAGCUGCUGUAUACAAAAAG